AGAGACUUAGGUUAACACCAGACCAAGGGCCUUCAAAGCCCUAAGCGGAAGUGAAAAUCUCCCAGUCCCUG
RNAcentral lists this transfer RNA (71 nucleotides) under Arothron mappa (map puffer). RNAcentral describes it as "tRNA-Trp". It matches the Rfam family "tRNA". From Rfam's summary of the family: Transfer RNA (tRNA) molecules are approximately 80 nucleotides in length. Lineage: Eukaryota; Metazoa; Chordata; Actinopteri; Tetraodontiformes; Tetraodontidae. The record is from RNAcentral.